Molecule: ribosomal RNA, 377 nt
Filed under: uncultured bacterium
Lineage: Bacteria
Description: bacterial SSU rRNA
Rfam family: Bacterial small subunit ribosomal RNA
Source: RNAcentral
UAAUACGUAGGGCGCAAGCGUUGUCCGGAAUUAUUGGGCGUAAAGAGCUCGUAGGCGGUCUGUCACGUCGGAUGUGAAAGCCCGGGGCUUAACCCCGGGUCUGCAUUCGAUACGGGCAGACUAGAGUGUGGUAGGGGAGAUCGGAAUUCCUGGUGUAGCGGUGAAAUGCGCAGAUAUCAGGAGGAACACCGGUGGCGAAGGCGGAUCUCUGGGCCAUUACUGACGCCGAGGAGCGAAAGCGUGGGGAGCGAACAGGAUUAGAUACCCUGGUAGUCCACGCCGUAAACGGUGGGAACUAGGUGUUGGCGACAUUCCACGUCGUCGGUGCCGCAGCUAACGCAUUAAGUUCCCCGCCUGGGGAGUACGGCCGCAAGGCU